Molecule: long non-coding RNA, 1110 nt
Filed under: Jatropha curcas
Lineage: Eukaryota; Viridiplantae; Streptophyta; Magnoliopsida; Malpighiales; Euphorbiaceae
Description: long non-coding RNA (JCUR_LNC002894)
Source: RNAcentral
UCAGGUCCGAGGGAUCUAAGGAAUUUAAGAAUAAUACAGGAAAAUAACUACAUCAGACAAAUAAGAAAUACGGGAAUCGCUCUAAUAAAUUAUAUACAUACUUGAUUUCUAUAAAUAAUCUAAUUUCUACCGAAAUUUCGGCAGCACCUCUCCUAAAAAAUAGACUAUUCGCUUGCUAAAACAUCAACUUAUCAUAUAUUUAUCCAAUCCAUACCGCCUAUCCGUCGGGCAAUCAAUCAAGUCAAAUUUUCCAUCCUCCUUCAAUCACAACGUCACCACUCAACAAUAAUUUUAUAAUUACAAUAAUAUUGCAUCUAAACUAGCUUAAUCCGCACUUUAAUUCCAUUAAUAUAUCAUUAUCAAGGUUCCUCAAAUAAAUGAACACUAAUGAAAUAUAUGUUGGAAUAUAAUCAAUGCAAAACUAAAUUAGCUAACCACGAAUACUAAAAAUCUACAAAUUUAUGAAAAUAUCCCAAGAUUAAUUUAUAUACCCAAAAUAAUGCUGCUGGAAUUUACUUGGCCGGAGACGGAAGCUGUGCACGCCGAAACAAAGAGAAAGAGGGAGAACAGUCACUAAGUUGACCAAGUCGGGGGUUAUGCUCACAAGAACUGCAAGCAGAUGAAACGCGACUUCAAGCGUUGGUGGUCAACGGUGGAGGUCGUGAAGAGCGACAGAUCGAGGCGAGGUCGCAGUCCUUCCUACGACUGUCCUCCUCGCUGGGUUCUAAUGGAAAGAGGGAUGGUGCUUGCGGAGCUGCUGCGACGAGGAGCGGCGGAGGGGUGGCACGCGAGGGAGGUCUGCUCCGAUCUGUGGAGUUGCGAACUGGUUACAGCUCCAACUCUCGCCAGAAACAAAAAUGUAGAGGAAAGAAAGAAAGAAAGAAAGCAAGAAAAAGAAUAAGAAGAGGAGGGGAGAGACGGCGGGGGCAGGGGAGGAUGUGGGUCGCGGGUGACUGGAACAUGCAGAAUGGGGAAGGGGAGAGUGAGCGUUGGAAAAUAAGGGAAGAGAGGAGAGUUCUAGAAGUGGUUUUGGGUGAAUUUGGGCUGAUUCGGUUCAAUUCAAGUUUGGUUUGGUCCAAAUCAUGGUUUUGAUUUGAUUUUUGAUUUUUC